RNAcentral lists this transfer RNA (53 nucleotides) under Scatoglyphus polytrematus. RNAcentral's name for it is "tRNA-Asn". Lineage: Eukaryota; Metazoa; Arthropoda; Arachnida; Sarcoptiformes; Acaridae. The record is from RNAcentral.
CCAAAUAGAGUUUGUUGAAUAUCUUUUUGUUAAUAAGAAGGAAUGAUUUUGGU